RNAcentral lists this ribosomal RNA (460 nucleotides) under uncultured bacterium. Its description in RNAcentral is "partial 16S ribosomal RNA". It matches the Rfam family "Bacterial small subunit ribosomal RNA", at positions 338 to 795 of the family's 1533-position model. The record is from RNAcentral.
CCUACGGGUGGCAGCAGUGAGGAAUAUUGGUCAAUGGACGAGAGUCUGAACCAGCCAAGUCGCGUGAAGGAUGACUGCCCUAUGGGUUGUAAACUUCUUUUAUAUGGGAAUAAAAUGUUCCACGUGUGGGAUUUUGUAUGUACCAUAUGAAUAAGGAUCGGCUAACUCCGUGCCAGCAGCCGCGGUAAUACGGAGGAUCCGAGCGUUAUCCGGAUUUAUUGGGUUUAAAGGGAGCGUAGGUGGAUUGUUAAGUCAGUUGUGAAAGUUUGCGGCUCAACCGUAAAAGUGCAGUUGAAACUGGCAGUCUUGAGUACAGUAGAGGUGGGCGGAAUGCGUGGUGUAGCGGUGAAAUGCUUAGAUAUCGCGAAGAACUCCGAUUGCGAAGGCAGUUCACUGGACUGAAACUGACACUGAGGCUCGAAAGUGUGGGUAUCAAACAGGAUUAGAUACCCUAGUAGUC